UACGUAGGGGGCAAGCGUUAUCCGGAUUUACUGGGUGUAAAGGGAGCGUAGACGGCCAGACAAGUCUGAAGUGAAAAUCCAGCGCUUAACGUUGGAAGUGCUUUGGAAACUGCCGGGCUGGAGUGCAGGAGGGGCAGGCGGAAUUCCUAGUGUAGCGGUGAAAUGCGUAGAUAUCAGGAGGAACACCAGUGGCGAAGGCGGCCUGCUGGACUGCAACUGACGUUGAGGCUCGAAGGCGUGGGGAGCAAACAGG
This 253-nucleotide ribosomal RNA is filed under the name uncultured bacterium. Its description in RNAcentral is "partial 16S ribosomal RNA". It matches the Rfam family "Bacterial small subunit ribosomal RNA", at positions 524 to 776 of the family's 1533-position model. The record is from RNAcentral.